CAGAGCUCGUGCACAGACCAUUUGGCUUUGCAAUUAAAAACAGGUUUGGCUUCUCUCAGCAUCAGUAAGACAACGUCAAAGCAACAUCCAUCCUGAACAUUUUCCCUUGUGAAUUCAAAUGAACUGAUAAAGUGAUGGCCAAGACCGGACCCAAAGGCAGUGUGUGGAAGGAGGAGGAGUGAGGAGAAGUUUGAGCACACCAUGAUCACUAGCACACUUUCUGCUGUGAGUUCUGCAAAUCCACCUACAGCACCAUGCUCUGUGCCAUGAGCAGAGAGGCUGCCAGAAGAGGAGACUGUCCAGAGCUCUCUGUCCUACAGACCCCAAGGCGGGAAACAAUGGAUCCUCUGGCAAGUCCAGGUUGGGUGCUGCUGCCCUUGCAGAAGUGUUAUCUCCCUUUAAAGAAUGACAGGAAGAUCUCAUUCUAGAAACAGCACUACCCAGCAUCAGUGUUCUCCACAAGCCACGUCUCAUCAGCUGAUGAUUUUGUCAGUCUCUAGUAAUAAGGAAAGCUUUGAAAGUGAAAAAAUGAGCAGAAAUAGCAACCUUCUCCUGCUGGUUUUGCAACUCUCCAGUAAACUGCUGGAGCAGGUGAUGAAAUAUGCCUUAGAAACAGCAAGAAGAUAUAUGUCAGAAAACUUUUCUGGCAUUCUGUUGUGAUAUUUUUUUUUCUCCAGGGGCUGGUGGAGCUUGGGGGAAAGUGCAAGGCAGGCUGUGGAAAGCGGAUGACGAACUCCCCACAGAUCAUAAUCCAGCUGUCCCGUGGCAGGACAGAGACAAAUUCAGAAUCCCCUUCACCCAACCCCCUCAGUAUUGCCCAAACUGUAUCCCAAAGGAACUCUAAAGUACCAAGAUGGUAACAGGAAUAUGCUAUGAGAGCUUCUGUAGUCAACAGAUCUGGCAGCUAUUGCCUCCUACUUCUUCACCUAGACAUUUUCAAAGCACCUGAAAAUCUUACCAUCACAAAAUAUGCCCACAUUAAUUAAACUUAUUUGAUCAGAAGAACCUUUUUCAAGGAAUGCUGGUAGUCAGCAUUGCUUUCACUGGACGCAUCUUCACUCCAUACAUGCCACAACACUCUCUUCUUUAAUGGCUGCCACCAUGAUUGAAUAGAACAGAGUGGUCUAGGGCAAGGGUCAAAACCACAACCAGCUGACCCCAUCCAGACCCCCUCAUGCCAUUAUAAAUAAAGUUUUAUUGGCACACAGUUGCAUUCAUUGAUGA
Long non-coding RNA from Erinaceus europaeus (western European hedgehog), 1224 nucleotides. RefSeq lists it as uncharacterized. The transcript is spliced from 3 exons. The record is from RefSeq and is a predicted model, not a curated record. Lineage: Eukaryota; Metazoa; Chordata; Mammalia; Eulipotyphla; Erinaceidae.